Molecule: ribosomal RNA, 465 nt
Filed under: Vreelandella stevensii
Lineage: Bacteria; Pseudomonadati; Pseudomonadota; Gammaproteobacteria; Oceanospirillales; Halomonadaceae
Description: partial 16S ribosomal RNA
Rfam family: Bacterial small subunit ribosomal RNA
Source: RNAcentral
CCUACGGGGGGCAGCAGUGGGGAAUAUUGGACAAUGGGGGCAACCCUGAUCCAGCCAUGCCGCGUGUGUGAAGAAGGCCCUCGGGUUGUAAAGCACUUUCAGUGAGGAAGAACGCCUGGUGGUUAAUACCCAUCAGGAAAGACAUCACUCACAGAAGAAGCACCGGCUAACUCCGUGCCAGCAGCCGCGGUAAUACGGAGGGUGCGAGCGUUAAUCGGAAUUACUGGGCGUAAAGCACGCGUAGGUGGCUUGAUAAGCCGGUUGUGAAAGCCCCGGGCUCAACCUGGGAACGGCAUCCGGAACUGUCAAGCUAGAGUGCAGGAGAGGAAGGUAGAAUUCCCGGUGUAGCGGUGAAAUGCGUAGAGAUCGGGAGGAAUACCAGUGGCGAAGGCGGCCUUCUGGACUGACACUGACACUGAGGUGCGAAAGCGUGGGUAGCAAACAGGAUUAGAUACCCGUGUAGUC